Non-coding RNA from Hyaloperonospora arabidopsidis Emoy2, 81 nucleotides. The record is from Rfam. Lineage: Eukaryota; Oomycota; Peronosporomycetes; Peronosporales; Peronosporaceae.
GACAGUUUGGCCGAGUGGUUAAGGCGAUGGACUUGAAAUCCAUUGGGGCAACCCGCGUGAGUUCAAACCUCACAGCUGUCG